RNAcentral lists this ribosomal RNA (867 nucleotides) under Dendryphion nanum. RNAcentral describes it as "partial large subunit ribosomal RNA". It matches the Rfam family "Eukaryotic large subunit ribosomal RNA", at positions 63 to 946 of the family's 3401-position model. The record is from RNAcentral. Lineage: Eukaryota; Fungi; Ascomycota; Dothideomycetes; Pleosporales; Torulaceae.
AACCAACAGGGAUUGCCUUAGUAACGGCGAGUGAAGCGGCAACAGCUCAAAUUUGAAAUCUGGCCUCUUUGGGGUCCGAGUUGUAAUUUGCAGAGGGUGCUUUUGGUGUUGGCCGUGGUCUAAGUUCCUUGGAACAGGACGUCACAGAGGGUGAGAAUCCCGUACGUGGCCGCCGGCCCUCGCCUUGUAAAGCCCCUUCGACGAGUCGAGUUGUUUGGGAAUGCAGCUCUAAAUGGGAGGUAAAUUUCUUCUAAAGCUAAAUACCCGCCAGAGACCGAUAGCGCACAAGUAGAGUGAUCGAAAGAUGAAAAGCACUUUGGAAAGAGAGUGAAAAAGCACGUGAAAUUGUUGAAAGGGAAGCGCUUGCGGCCAGACGUGCCUGCGGUUGAUCAACUGGGCUCCCGCCCGGUGCACUCCUCCGCGGGCAGGCCAGCAUCAGUUUGGGCGGUCGGACAAAGGUCUCUGUCACGUACCAUCCCUCGGGAUGGCCUUAUAGGGGAGACGCAACACGGCCAGCCUGGACUGAGGUUCCGCGCAUCUGCUAGGAUGCUGGCGUAAUGGCAGCAAGCGGCCCGUCUUGAAACACGGACCAAGGAGUCUAACAUCUAUGCGAGUGUUUGGGUGUCAAGCCCGAGCGCGUAAUGAAAGUGAACGGAGGUGGGAACCCCUCGGGGCGCACCAUCGACCGAUCCUGAUGUCUUCGGAUGGAUUUGAGUAAGAGCAUAGCUGUUGGGACCCGAAAGAUGGUGAACUAUGCCUGAAUAGGGUGAAGCCAGAGGAAACUCUGGUGGAGGCUCGCAGCGGUUCUGACGUGCAAAUCGAUCGUCAAAUUUGGGCAUAGGGGCGAAAGACUAAUCGAACCAUCUA